UUUUGAAUUUUUUUUUAAGUCUGACCUGCCCACUGAAUAUUUUAAAUGGCCGCAGUAUACUAACUGUGCAAAGGUAGCAUAAUCAUUAGUCUUUUAAUUGAAGGCUUGUAUGAAUGGUUGGACGAGAUAUUAACUGUUUCAUAAAAAUUUAUAUUAGAAUUUUAUUUUUUAGUCAAAAAGCUAAAAUAAAAUUAAAAGACGAGAAGACCCUAUAAAUCUUUAUAUUUAUAUUAUUUUGAUAUUUUAGAAUUUUUUUAUUGUAAUAAUUUAUAAUAUUUUAUUGGGGUGAUAUUAAAAUUUAAUAAACUUUUAAUUUUUAAAAUCAUUAAUUAAUGAAUAAUUGAUCCGUUAUUAAUGAUUAAAAAAUCAAGUUACUUUAGGGAUAACAGCGUAAUUUUUUUGGAGAGUUCAUAUCGAUAAAAAAGAUUGCGACCUCGAUGUUGGAUUAAGAUAUAAUUUUAGGUGUAGUUGCUUAAAUUUUAAGUC
This 486-nucleotide ribosomal RNA is filed under the name Lophosceles cinereiventris. Its description in RNAcentral is "partial 16S ribosomal RNA". Lineage: Eukaryota; Metazoa; Arthropoda; Insecta; Diptera; Muscidae. The record is from RNAcentral.